UGCCAGCAGCCGCGGUAACACGAACUGCGCGAACGUUAUUCGGAAUCACUGGGCUUAAAGAGUCCGUAGGCGGCUUGGUAGGUGAGGUGUGAAAUCCCACGGCUCAACCGUGGAACUGCGCUUCAAACCACCAAGCUAGAGGGAGAUAGAGGAGAGCGGAACUGAUGGUGGAGCGGUGAAAUGCGUUGAUAUCAUCAGGAACACCGGUGGCGAAAGCGGCUCUCUGGGUCUCUUCUGACGCUGAGACGCGAAAGCGUGGGGAGCAAACAGGAUUAGAUA
RNAcentral lists this ribosomal RNA (279 nucleotides) under uncultured bacterium. RNAcentral's name for it is "partial 16S ribosomal RNA". It matches the Rfam family "Bacterial small subunit ribosomal RNA", at positions 506 to 784 of the family's 1533-position model. The record is from RNAcentral.